UGCUUUUGAAACUACUAAGCUUGAGUACUGUAGGGGGUAGCGGAACUCCUAGUGUAGGGGUGAAAUUCGUAGAUAUUAGGAGGAACACCGGAGGCGAAAGCGGUUAUCUGGACAGUCACUGACGCUGUUGCACGAAAGCGUGGGGAGCAAACAGGAUUAGAUACCCUGGUAGUCCACGCAGUAAACGAUGAGUGCUAGAUGUUGGGGUUUAAGUCUCAGUGUCGCAGCUAACGCAUUAAGCACUCCGCCUGGGGAGUACGGUCGCAAGAUUAAAACUCAAAGGAAUUGACGGGGACCCGCACAAGCGGUGGAACAUGUGGUUUAAUUCGAUGCUACGCGAAAAACCUUACCAGGCCUUGACAUGGUGAUCAUAUGGCUGCGAAAGC
This 386-nucleotide ribosomal RNA is filed under the name Candidatus Midichloria mitochondrii. Its description in RNAcentral is "bacterial SSU rRNA". It matches the Rfam family "Bacterial small subunit ribosomal RNA", at positions 622 to 1008 of the family's 1533-position model. The record is from RNAcentral. Lineage: Bacteria; Pseudomonadati; Pseudomonadota; Alphaproteobacteria; Rickettsiales; Candidatus Midichloriaceae.